Molecule: ribosomal RNA, 1465 nt
Filed under: uncultured bacterium
Lineage: Bacteria
Description: bacterial SSU rRNA
Rfam family: Bacterial small subunit ribosomal RNA
Source: RNAcentral
GAUGAACGCUGGCGGCGUGCCUAAUACAUGCAAGUCGAGCGAACAGAUGAGAAGCUUGCUUCUCUGAUGUUAGCGGCGGACGGGUGAGUAACACGUGGGUAACCUACCUAUAAGACUGGGAUAACUCCGGGAAACCGGGGCUAAUACCAGAUAAUACAUUGAACCGCAUGGUUCAAUGUUGAAAGACGGUUUCGGCUGUCACUUAUAGAUGGACCCGCGCCGUAUUAGCUAGUUGGUAAGGUAACGGCUUACCAAGGCAACGAUACGUAGCCGACCUGAGAGGGUGAUCGGCCACACUGGAACUGAGACACGGUCCAGACUCCUACGGGAGGCAGCAGUAGGGAAUCUUCCGCAAUGGGCGAAAGCCUGACGGAGCAACGCCGCGUGAGUGAUGAAGGUCUUAGGAUCGUAAAACUCUGUUGUUAGGGAAGAACAAAUUUGUUAGUAACUGAACAAGUCUUGACGGUACCUAACCAGAAAGCCACGGCUAACUACGUGCCAGCAGCCGCGGUAAUACGUAGGUGGCAAGCGUUAUCCGGAAUUAUUGGGCGUAAAGCGCGCGUAGGCGGUUUCUUAAGUCUGAUGUGAAAGCCCACGGCUCAACCGUGGAGGGUCAUUGGAAACUGGGGAACUUGAGUGCAGAAGAGGAGAGUGGAAUUCCAUGUGUAGCGGUGAAAUGCGCAGAGAUAUGGAGGAACACCAGUGGCGAAGGCGGCUCUCUGGUCUGUAACUGACGCUGAUGUGCGAAAGCGCGGGGAUCAAACAGGAUUAGAUACCCUGGUAGUCCACGCCGUAAACGAUGAGUGCUAAGUGUUAGGGGGGUUUCCGCCCCUUAGUGCUGCAGCUAACGCAUUAAGCACUCCGCCUGGGGAGUACGACCGCAAGGUUGAAACUCAAAGGAAUUGACGGGGACCCGCACAAGCGGUGGAGCAUGUGGUUUAAUUCGAAGCAACGCGAAGAACCUUACCAAAUCUUGACAUUCUUUGACCGCUCUAGAGAUAGAGUCUUCCCCUUCGGGGGACAAAGUGACAGGUGGUGCAUGGUUGUCGUCAGCUCGUGUCGUGAGAUGUUGGGUUAAGUCCCGCAACGAGCGCAACCCUUAAGCUUAGUUGCCAUCAUUAAGUUGGGCACUCUAGGUUAACUGCCGGUGACAAACCGGAGGAAGGUGGGGAUGACGUCAAAUCAUCAUGCCCCUUAUGACUUGGGCUACACACGUGCUACAAUGGAUAAUACAAAGGGCAGCGAACCCGCGAGGUCAAGCAAAUCACAUAAAAUUAUUCUCAGUUCGGAUUGUAGUCUGCAACUCGACUACAUGAAGCUGGAAUCGCUAGUAAUCGUAGAUCAGCAUGCUACGGUGAAUACGUUCCCGGGUCUUGUACACACCGCCCGUCACACCACGAGAGUUUGUAACACCCGAAGCCGGUGGAGUAACCUUUUAUUAGGAGCUAGCCGUCGAAGGUGGGAC